ACGGAGGGUGCGAGCGUUGUCCGGAAUUACUGGGCGUAAAGGGCUCGUAGGCGGCCAACUAAGUCAGUUGUGAAAUCCCUCGGCUUAACCGGGGAAUUGCGUCUGAUACUGGAUGGCUUGAGUUUGGGAGAGGGAUGCGGAAUUCCAGGUGUAGCGGUGAAAUGCGUAGAUAUCUGGAGGAACACCGGUGGCGAAGGCGGCAUCCUGGACCAACACUGACGCUGAGGAGCGAAAGCCAGGGGAGCAAACGGGA
RNAcentral lists this ribosomal RNA (253 nucleotides) under uncultured prokaryote. Its description in RNAcentral is "partial 16S ribosomal RNA". It matches the Rfam family "Bacterial small subunit ribosomal RNA", at positions 525 to 777 of the family's 1533-position model. The record is from RNAcentral.